RNAcentral lists this long non-coding RNA (458 nucleotides) under Mytilus galloprovincialis (Mediterranean mussel). Lineage: Eukaryota; Metazoa; Mollusca; Bivalvia; Mytilida; Mytilidae. The record is from RNAcentral.
GUAUGGAACAUUUUCCACCGAACAUUUCACUAGCAAUCACAUGCAAUGAACACGGUCUCGAUUUGAAUGUCUUUUGCAAAACACAUAAACAAAUAAGUUGCGUUGAGUGCGUCAGGGUUGAUCACACAAAUUGUAAUGACAUUGUUACUCUUAGUUUUGCUGCUAUAAAUACUACAUCGUCAAUCAUGUUUGGAAAUUUGGUAUCAAACGCACAAGAUCUGAUUCAUAAAGUUAAUCAAGUUCUAUCAGAUCUAGGAAAUACGUCAUCAAACAUUGAGCUUGAAAACACUCGAUUAAAAACUGCAAUAGAAAAUACGUAUAGAGGGGUUUCUACAAGCAAUGAAGUCAUGGAUACUACAUUAAAUGAUCUAAAAUUAAACUACGAAAAAUGCAUUUAUGAAACAGAAAAGAAUGUUACAAAAAUGGAAAAGAUUAAAUUGAAAAUUUCUGAAAUUGAC